UCCCCCACAGGCCGGAUCGCGCUCGCUAUCCAACCGUCGACGCCGCUCCCCUCAUCCUUCGCCGCGCCCCCACCACGCCUUCACCGACCGCCACUCCUGCUCGCCCGAAUCGACGCCGCCGUCGUCGCGGGUCGACAUCGCCGCUCCUCCUAUCGCACUCCUCCCCGCCGGCACUGCCUCCAUCCAUCCGCCGCGUCUCGCCGCCGGUCGCACCACCGAUCCAUUCCUCCUCUGCCGCCUGCUCUCCCGGUCCCUCCCGCCCUAUCGCCCCAACACUCCCCCCCCCGGCACCGCCUCCAUCCAUCCGCCGCGUCUCGCCGUCGGCCGCACCCCCGCUUCCAUCCAUCCACUGCAGAUCGCCAUCGCACGCCUCCGCCUCUCAAGGUCACACGCUCGUCGCCACCGCUCGUCGCCCGACACCCCGCCGAUUGGGGACCGGACGCUGACCCUGCAUCGACGCCACAACAGCCGACAGAUGGGAGAUGUUGAAGACCUCACUCCAACGACGGCUGCGCGCGGUGACACUACCAGGCGUUGAGGGAGAGAAUGAAGUGCAAGGUGCGACGGGGUUGUUCGUCCUUGCCCAGAUCAACGCCGCCGCCGAUCCCUCACUCGCCCCUCGCCCAGGUCGGUGCCAAGGGCGAGGUUCGCCAAUCUGCUUCCCAGCCGCCUCGCCCGCUCCAUGGGAGAGGUGACACCUGUGCCCGCCUCCAGCGCUCCAUGCCCCCGGUACCAUCCGAGCACGAUCCCUCCGGCAGAACUUCUGCCGGAGAAGGGACGCAUGGUUAAUUGGUGUUCAACGAAAUGCUGCUUAGCCAAUGUAUUACCAGAAAUUGAUUUCUCUAGUGGAUGAAAAUAAAAAAUGGAACGAUGCAGUGAAGAUUAUGUAAGCAAUGUUCGUGAUAUAUCGAUCCUGAAAUUCUCAUAGAUGGCCAUUGCACAAAUACAAAAAUUUGCAGCUCAAGAUGAACAACCACACCAACCCCAAGAUCACCAACUAAGCCUAUCCUGCUUCAUGAUUGUUGCUGCAUACUCCAACAUGCUUGCUGCUGGUGCAAUCUGAGCCGGCUGGUGGCAGAUGGGAGCCUGCCCUAUGUUGUUAGCAGCUUUCUUCACUCCAAGUCAUGCUUGCUGCCUGUGGUCUUGGUAGUUUCUUUUUUGUGUUGUCAAUUUAAUUAUUAGGAUUUCCCAUGUGCUCGGUUAUUGGUGUUCUUGUAUCUGUUUGUUUCAGGGUGUCAUUACUAUGGAGUAGAUCAUAUUUUUUUUCUUAUUUUUUCCAAUGCCUUGUAAAAUAACCAACUAGCAGGGAUGUUCAUAAAUUUCCCCCUUUUGUUUGGUUUUUUUCAGACAUAUAUAUAAUGAAGGCAUAUAUACACAAAAGGAGGAGCUGUUUGAGGGUCUAAAGGACAAUAGCUCAAUUGACUGGGAAGUUGUUGUCAUAUGUCGAGAGCAAUCUGCUAAAUGUUAAAGAGGUGCAUCUAACUUUUGUACCCAGUGAACUGCAAAUCUGCACCUUCUCUUUUUUGAUUAAUAGUUUCUUUGGAUUCAGAUCAAAAUAGCUCAACAUGGGAAUUUUUCUAGCAGAGGAUGGGCAAUUCUCGGAAAAUACUAUAUAUUUCUUGUCGUUGAAUGUGAUCAUGUCCCAUUAUUCUGGCACUUGCUGCCUUGAUUUUGUUGCCUGUGCCAGCCCUUUAGCUAGCUCUCUAUCACACACGAAUGCGUGACCCUUGAUGGUUGUAUGCAGUUGGGAUAUUUUGACUUUCGUUCUUUGGUUACUGGCGUGAGACGUGGGAGAAAGACGCUGAAGACAUCAAGCAUAACAUGGAGUUGAUAAAACAUCGUCGACUGAAUCAUGGACCUUGUCUUGGAUGUAGUUUCUUUGGCUGCUGGUUUAUUACACUAUAGUAAAACUAAGGACCUUGUAAUAGGCUCUUUGUGCUGGUCUGACGUGAAGUGAAAACCUUCUUAAUGUAACUUCGCUAAAAUUAGCGUUUUGUCUGUUUAAGCAGUAUUUAUGGUAUAAAGAAUUGCAUAUUGCAUUAUAUUGUGACAAAGAGUAUUUUCUGAAAUUU
This is a non-coding RNA of Oryza sativa Japonica Group (Japanese rice), 2072 nucleotides long. The record is from RefSeq and is a predicted model, not a curated record. NCBI's taxonomy places the organism in Eukaryota, Viridiplantae, Streptophyta, Magnoliopsida, Poales, Poaceae.